This 468-nucleotide ribosomal RNA is filed under the name uncultured bacterium. Its description in RNAcentral is "partial 16S ribosomal RNA". It matches the Rfam family "Bacterial small subunit ribosomal RNA", at positions 28 to 507 of the family's 1533-position model. The record is from RNAcentral.
GACGAACGCUGGCGGCGUGCUUAACACAUGCAAGUCGAACGGAAAGGCCCUGCUUUUGUGGGGUGCUCGAGUGGCGAACGGGUGAGUAACACGUGAGUAACCUGCCCUUGACUUUGGGAUAACUUCAGGAAACUGGGGCUAAUACCGGAUAGGAGCUCCUGCUGCAUGUUGUGGGUUGGAAAGUUUCGGCGGUUGGGGAUGGACUCGCGGCUUAUCAGCUUGUUGGUGGGGUAGUGGCUUACCAAGGCUUUGACGGGUAGCCGGCCUGAGAGGGUGACCGGCCACAUUGGGACUGAGAUACGGCCCAGACUCCUAAGGGAGGCAGCAGUGGGGAAUAUUGCACAAUGGGCGGAAGCCUGAUGCAGCAACGCCGCGUGCGGGAUGACGGCCUUCGGGUUGUAAACCGCUUUCGCCUGUGACGAAGCGUGAGUGACGGUAAUGGGUAAAGAAGCACCGGCUAACUACGUG